Molecule: ribosomal RNA, 254 nt
Filed under: uncultured bacterium
Lineage: Bacteria
Description: partial 16S ribosomal RNA
Rfam family: Bacterial small subunit ribosomal RNA
Source: RNAcentral
UACGAAGGGGGCUAGCGUUGCUCGGAAUCACUGGGCGUAAAGCGCACGUAGGUGGAUCGCUAAGUCAGGGGUGAAAUCCUGGAGCUCAACUCCAGAACUGCCUUGAUACUGGCAAUCUCGAGUCCGGGAGAGGUGAGUGGAACUGCGAGUGUAGAGGUGAAAUUCGUAGAUAUUCGCAAAGAACACCAGUGGCGGAAGGCGGCUCACUGGCCCGGUACUGACGCUGAGGUGGCGAAAGCGUGGGAGCAAACAGG